RNAcentral lists this ribosomal RNA (116 nucleotides) under Pteropus alecto (black flying fox). Lineage: Eukaryota; Metazoa; Chordata; Mammalia; Chiroptera; Pteropodidae. The record is from RNAcentral.
GUCUACGGCCAUGCCACCCUGAACAAGCCUGAUGUCUGAUCCUGGAAGCGAAGCAGGGUCGGGCCUGGUUAGUACUUGGAUGGGAGACCACUUAGGAAGAUCAGGUGGUGUAGGCA